UUAAGUAGUAGUGCCGCAGGUUG
Molecule: microRNA, 23 nt
Filed under: Strongyloides ratti
Lineage: Eukaryota; Metazoa; Nematoda; Chromadorea; Rhabditida; Strongyloididae
Description: str-miR-252b-5p
Gene: str-miR-252b-5p
Source: miRBase by way of RNAcentral